UUCCAUAAUAUGUUUCUUCAAAGAGAUUCAUGCUCUACUCCAUCAACUAUUUUAAUCUUACAUAAUCCAUUAAUCAUCAUAUAUAGUUGAUUAACCACUAAGAUAUUAUGCAUCUAAUAGAACACAAUACAACAUUAAAGUAGAUAUUAUGCAUCUAAUAGAACACAAUACAACAUUAAUCCUAUAAGGAAGUUUUAGCUUCUUUCACCUUUCCUUCCUUGCAAAAGGUAUGAAUCCCCUUAUAUGUUUGGAUUGAUGUCUUUCAACACCAUUCCACCCAACAAAACCAACAAUACCAAAAUCAUAAAUUAAAGUAUUGUAAGUGACAACUGCUUGGAUACUCACAAAUUUAUCUUUACACAAACUAUCAAUGAUUGUGUUAUACAUUACUAAAUCAAUCCAGAUGAGUUACAGAGCAGUUGUCAUUCGUCCAGUUUACAUAACCCAUUGAUCAAUCGUCAUGAAAGUCAAGGGCCUGCUGGACAUCACCGUUAAGACAAAGACCUUUGAAAGUGCGGCCAAGAUUACCACAUCUAGCUGAUAACUGAUAUGAAGGAUCUUGAGGAACAGAGGAAAGGAAACAUUGAAUUGACCUAAUUGACAGUAACAAUUGAUGAUUUUGUGGGAGGCAGGGUAAAAAGAGGUAUGAUGCAAUUGAGGAAGCUGUGAAUGAGGGAACGAAAUCAACAUCAUCAAAAUUGUGUGAGAAUGAGAUUGAAAUUAG
Molecule: long non-coding RNA, 724 nt
Filed under: Medicago truncatula (barrel medic)
Lineage: Eukaryota; Viridiplantae; Streptophyta; Magnoliopsida; Fabales; Fabaceae
Description: lncRNA gene2105
Source: RNAcentral